GGGUUGUGAGGUUAAGCGACUAAGCGUACACGGUGGAUGCCCUGGCAGUCAGAGGCGAUGAAGGGCGUGCUAAUCUGCGAUAAGCGCCGGUAAGGUGAUAUGAACCGUUAUAACCGGCGAUACCCGAAUGGGGAAACCCAGUGUGACUCGUCACACUAUCAUUAACUGAAUCCAUAGGUUAAUGAGGCGAACCGGGGGAACUGAAACAUCUAAGUACCCCGAGGAAAAGAAAUCAACCGAGAUUCCCCCAGUAGCGGCGAGCGAACGGGGAGGAGCCCAGAGCCUGAAUCAGCAUGUGUGUUAGUGGAAGCGUCUGGAAAGGCGCGCGAUACAGGGUGACAGCCCCGUACACAAAAGCGCAUGUGCUGUGAGCUCGAUGAGUAGGGCGGGACACGUGGUAUCCUGUCUGAAUAUGGGGGGACCAUCCUCCAAGGCUAAAUACUCCUGACUGACCGAUAGUGAACCAGUACCGUGAGGGAAAGGCGAAAAGAACCCCGGCGAGGGGAGUGAAAAAGAACCUGAAACCGUGUACGUACAAGCAGUGGGAGCACAGGUUUACCUGUGUGACUGCGUACCUUUUGUAUAAUGGGUCAGCGACUUAUAUUCUGUAGC
RNAcentral lists this ribosomal RNA (612 nucleotides) under Salmonella enterica subsp. enterica serovar Bovismorbificans. Its description in RNAcentral is "partial 23S ribosomal RNA". It matches the Rfam family "Bacterial large subunit ribosomal RNA", at positions 1 to 641 of the family's 2925-position model. Lineage: Bacteria; Pseudomonadati; Pseudomonadota; Gammaproteobacteria; Enterobacterales; Enterobacteriaceae. The record is from RNAcentral.